Molecule: long non-coding RNA, 1442 nt
Filed under: Olea europaea (common olive)
Lineage: Eukaryota; Viridiplantae; Streptophyta; Magnoliopsida; Lamiales; Oleaceae
Description: long non-coding RNA (OEUR_LNC011164)
Source: RNAcentral
AAAUCUGAAUUUAAUUAAUACAUGGUUUUAGUGUCAUAAAGUCCCAUUAAUACUCAUAUCCUCAUCCUUUUCCACUAAAGUGUCGAAUCAUAUUCAAACCCUCCUAAAACACAAAAGCACUUAUCACGCGCCUAACUACCGCGUGAAACAUCCUUCAGCUACUCCAUGCCCAUCAUGAAAAUUAUGUACUGUCCACCCGAAAAAAUAAAAAAAAAAUAAAAAUAAUCCUCUUUAUUAUCCGCUUCAGCCUUCCCUUAUAAGCUCGAGCUUUCUCAAGCUUUUUACCAUUUCAAAAAUACCACGAAAAUGAGAAACAAAGGAAAAGUUCACCCCUUAAUUUCUUCAUCUUCAUCUUCAUCGUACAGUGCUAGCAAGGAUGUUUUGCCCGUGUUAAAGCUACUGCCUGCUGUUUAAGAGCAUUCAAACCUUUUGUACCAAUGUGACCAAGUCUACCAUGCCAUAACUUUGCUAGAUUAAAAUCAUCAUUUAAAACUGCAUUAGACAGACCCAUAAGAGGUUUAGCAUUUAAGAAGUAUAGACCAUGUCUCUUUGGGAUAGAAGUGACUAAAUCACUUCCCCUAAAGAUUUUUAUUUGUCCUUGACCCAAUUUUAUGUCAAACUCCAUAUCAUCUAACAUUCCUAAGGAAAUUAAGUUUCUUUCUAAAUCUGGUACAAAUCUAGUAUUUUCUAAAAGUAAGAUUCUGCCAUUUUCUAAAAGAAGUUUUAUGGUUCCAAUGCCUUUAACUUUGCAAGUCAUGUUGUUCCCCAUGACAACUUGUCCUCCAUUAGACUUUUCAAAAUUUAGAAAGUAGUUUUUCUUAGGACACAUGUGGAAAGAACAUCCUGAAUCUAGGAUCCACUCUUGAUUUAAGUUUCUUUCAACAUUAACAAGGACUAAACCAUUGUCAGAUUGAAGUGUGUCAUAUGACAUAACAGUAUUUCCUUCACUGACUUUCUUCUCUUUAGAAUCAUUCUGUUUUUUAUAGCAAUCCUUAAAACCCUCCUAAAACACAAAAGCACUUAUCACGCGCCUAACUACCGCGUGAAACAUCCUUCAGCUACUCCAUGCCCAUCAUGAAAAUUAUGUACUGUCCACCCGAAAAAAUAAAAAAAAAAUAAAAAUAAUCCUCUUUAUUAUCCGCUUCAGCCUUCCCUUAUAAGCUCGAGCUUUCUCAAGCUUUUUACCAUUUCAAAAAUACCACGAAAAUGAGAAACAAAGGAAAAGUUCACCCCUUAAUUUCUUCAUCUUCAUCUUCAUCUUCAUCGUACAGUGCUAGCAAGGAUGUUUUGCCCGUGUUAAAGCUACUGCCUGCUGCUAUUUUCGCUUUAAUAUCGCUUCUUCCCUUUGAAGACCGUGAAGUUUUGGCUUAUAUGAUAAGCCGAUCUUUAAAGUUGACAAACCCGCCGGACGAGAAGAAGAAAUCUCCAAAGAAUAGUCACGG